CGUAGGUGAACCUGCGGAAGGAUCAUUACUGAUUUGCUUAAUUGCACCACAUGUGUUUUUCUUUGAAACAAACUUGCUUUGGCGGUGGGCCCAGCCUGCCGCCAGAGGUCUAAACUUACAACCAAUUUUUUAUCAACUUGUCACACCAGAUUAUUACUAAUAGUCAAAACUUUCAACAACGGAUCUCUUGGUUCUCGCAUCGAUGAAGAACGCAGCGAAAUGCGAUACGUAAUAUGAAUUGCAGAUAUUCGUGAAUCAUCGAAUCUUUGAACGCACAUUGCGCCCUCUGGUAUUCCGGAGGGCAUGCCUGUUUGAGCGUCGUUUCUCCCUCAAACCGCUGGGUUUGGUGUUGAGCAAUACGACUUGGGUUUGCUUGAAAGACGGUAGUGGUAAGGCGGGAUCGCUUUGACAAUGGCUUAGGUCUAACCAAAAACAUUGCUUGCGGCGGUAACGUCUACUACGUAUAUCUUCAAACUUUGACCUCAAAUCAGGUAGGACUACCCGC
This 505-nucleotide ribosomal RNA is filed under the name Candida africana. RNAcentral's name for it is "eukaryotic LSU rRNA". The stretch from base 168 to 321 matches the Rfam family "5.8S ribosomal RNA". The record is from RNAcentral. Lineage: Eukaryota; Fungi; Ascomycota; Pichiomycetes; Serinales; Debaryomycetaceae.